This 72-nucleotide transfer RNA is filed under the name Ipomoea nil (Japanese morning glory). It matches the Rfam family "tRNA". From Rfam's summary of the family: Transfer RNA (tRNA) molecules are approximately 80 nucleotides in length. Their secondary structure includes four short double-helical elements and three loops (D, anti-codon, and T loops). Further hydrogen bonds mediate the characteristic L-shaped molecular structure. tRNAs have two regions of fundamental functional importance: the anti-codon, which is responsible for specific mRNA codon recognition, and the 3' end, to which the tRNAs corresponding amino acid is attached (by aminoacyl-tRNA synthetases). tRNAs cope with the degeneracy of the genetic code in two manners: having more than one tRNA (with a specific anti-codon) for a particular amino acid; and 'wobble' base-pairing, i.e. permitting non-standard base-pairing at the 3rd anti-codon position. The record is from Rfam by way of RNAcentral. Lineage: Eukaryota; Viridiplantae; Streptophyta; Magnoliopsida; Solanales; Convolvulaceae.
GUUGAUGUAGUAUAGUGGUGAGUAUCCCCGCCUGUCACGCGAGAGACUUGGGUUCGAUCCCCGACAACGGUG